Molecule: long non-coding RNA, 1684 nt
Organism: Lutra lutra (Eurasian river otter)
Lineage: Eukaryota; Metazoa; Chordata; Mammalia; Carnivora; Mustelidae
Exons: 3
Source: RefSeq, a predicted model, not a curated record
GCGUGACGUCAGAGAACAAUGACACCGCCGGGGGGCGGGUACCCGGAGGCAGCACGGGCGGGGGUCUCCCCCGGGAACUGAGACUAGCGGAAGAUGUCCAGGACAGGCUAGGGCCAUUGCCUGAUUGACGAGGCCCGCCUGGGAGCGCGGACGUGCCACGCAGACUCGAGGAUCGUCCAGGCCUCCUGGGCAGUGAUCAGCGCCGACCCUGGGCCAGCGUGAGGAGCAGGCCAGAGUACCCUCCCCCCUCACCCUACUUAAAAAACAUCCUUCAGUGGGCAUCUCUGACCUCGGCUUGAACUCCUUCAGGGCCGGCUAGAUCACUCCUUCCACCACCGAGGGAAAGGAAGCAAAAUGAAUUUGCCGGCCCUGAAUUCAUUCUCAAGGCUUCGCUAGUCUGACAGCCCGUGAACUCAGCUUGGAUUCCUGAGGGCUCAGAGGGCUGCAGCUGAGGUCCACAGGGGCCUGGGAGGGGAUGCUGGGAACCUGCGUGAUACUCCCAAGGGUAAUUCUGCCGCCCCGAGGCCAGUAGGUGCACGGGAAGGCGCUCCUUGCCAGGGCCUCAGUCUUUAGACCUGUCACAUGGACUGUUACCAAGCUGCCGUUUCUGCACAGGUGGCAGAUGUGUACCCUUGGGGAAGGUGGAUGGCAUGAGAACCUUCCAGACCUCUCAGGACACCAGAGGAGCAUGCUCUCAGAGCCAGAAAGGGGCUUCUGAGAUCAUCGAAGCGAGAACCCCUAGGUCUCCUUCUUCUCAGGAGGCAACUGCCUCUGCUUGCAUCCUUCUGGGAAUGGGGAGCUUGCUCCCUCACUUGGCAGACACUGUGCAGUGAUGUGCUGGUAAGUGUUUAACAUCUGGCUCUCCAAAAUGGGGAAGACCUGAUAGAUAGCGUUUGCCGAUUUCCAUUGUAUAAAUACUCCCCCUGUGGCCAAGGUCAAGCUGCUGACUUCACAACACCCAGCUCCCACAGUUCCAGAAAAUUUAGCCAUCAGCUCUUGUGAGCCAGUCCCAGCCGGCUCCAGCACACCACUGGCCUGCCCCACAGAGGAGCCCUGUCCAGCUUUACGCCUUGGGAAGUUCUUCCUGGCACCUGCUAGAUGCUACGGCCCUAGUCACUCGUGUCUUUGCUCACACCGGCCUCUCCAGCCUGAAAGUCUUCCUGCUCGGCCUGCCCACCUAGGAGGCUGUGCUCAGAUGUCAUCUGCUCUCAAAAGCCCGCCCUGCCCGCCACCGCUUCCCCUCCUGGGGCAGGCAGGCGCCCGCCCUCCUACAGCCUUUCUCAGUCCCUGUUUGCCACUUAUCACUUUCUACCUUGGAUUACAGCUAUCUGUGUACUCGGCUUAUCUCUCUGCCAGACUGAGAGGCAGCGGGCUUGCCGAAAGAGUGUGGACUUUGGAGCCCCGCGACCUGGCGCUGAAUCCCAGCCUUGCCACUUACAGCUGUGAGCCCUAAGGAACCUCCUACCACCUUCUGAAGGCUCAACUUCUCUAUCUGUAAAGUGGGGCUGGCCAUCACUCCUUCCAAGGUGGUCUGACUGUUAAGUGGGAUAAGAAAUGGAACUUCCCUUUCCUGUUCCUGUCUGGGACUCCCAUCUCUAGGGGACAGAGAUUGUGUCUGGUGCUUCUGUGUGUUCUCUGGUUAUGACAGCAGUAUAAAUAUUAACAACAAUGGUAAAUACAUAUA